CCUUACCAGGUCUUGACAUCCUUUGAAGCUUUUAGAGAUAGAAGUGUUCUCUUCGGAGACAAAGUGACAGGUGGUGCAUGGUGGUCGUCAGCUCGUGUCGUGAGAUGUUGGGUUAAGUCCCGCAACGAGCGCAACCCUUAUUGUUAGUUCCCAGCAUUCAGAUGGGCACUCUAGCGAGACUGCCGGUGACAAACCGGAGGAAGGCGGGGACGACGUCAGAUCAUCAUGCCCCUUAUGACCUGGGCUACACACGUGCUACAAUGGCGUAUACAACGAGUUGCCAACCCGCGAGGGUGAGCUAAUCUCUUAAAGUACGUCUCAGUUCGGAUUGUAGUCUGCAACUCGACUACAUGAAGUCGGAAUCGCUAGUAAUCGCGGAUCAGCACGCCGCGGUGAAUACGUUCCCGGGUCUUGUACACAC
This 421-nucleotide ribosomal RNA is filed under the name uncultured Leuconostoc sp. RNAcentral's name for it is "bacterial SSU rRNA". It matches the Rfam family "Bacterial small subunit ribosomal RNA", at positions 969 to 1390 of the family's 1533-position model. Lineage: Bacteria; Bacillati; Bacillota; Bacilli; Lactobacillales; Lactobacillaceae. The record is from RNAcentral.